GAUGAAGAACGUAGCGAAAUGCGAUAAGUAGUGUGAAUUGCAGAAUUCAGUGAAUCAUCGAAUCUUUGAACGCACAUUGCGCCCCUUGGUAUUCCAUGGGGCAUGCCUGUUCGAGCGUCAUUUGUACCUUCAAGCUUUGCUUGGUGUUGGGUGUUUGUCCCUCGGGACUCGCCUUAAAGUCAUUGGCAGCCAGUGUUUUGGUUUUGAAGCGCAGCACAAGUCGCGAUUCAAGGCUAUCCGCCCGCUUCCACAAGCCUUGUUCACUUUUGACCUCGGAUCAGGUAGGGAUACCCGCUGAACUUAAGCAUAUCAAUAAGCGGAGGA
This 324-nucleotide unclassified non-coding RNA is filed under the name soil metagenome. Its description in RNAcentral is "partial contains 5.8S ribosomal RNA, internal transcribed spacer 2, and large subunit ribosomal RNA". The stretch from base 1 to 120 matches the Rfam family "5.8S ribosomal RNA", at positions 35 to 154 of the family's 154-position model. The record is from RNAcentral.